This 541-nucleotide ribosomal RNA is filed under the name uncultured Acidobacteriota bacterium. RNAcentral describes it as "bacterial SSU rRNA". It matches the Rfam family "Bacterial small subunit ribosomal RNA", at positions 8 to 522 of the family's 1533-position model. The record is from RNAcentral. Lineage: Bacteria; Pseudomonadati; Acidobacteriota.
AGAGUUUGAUCCUGGCUCAGAGUGAACGCUGGCGGCGUGCUUAACACAUGCAAGUCGAACGCGAAAGGGUAGCAAUACCCGAGUAGAGUGGCGAACGGGUGAGUAAAGUGUGGGUAAUCUGCCUUUCAGAUGGGGAUAACCCGGCGAAAGCUGGGCUAAUACCCGAUAACGUUGCUUGGUUUUCGGACUGAGUAACCAAACGAUGGCCUCUAUUUAUAAGCUAUCGCUGGAAGAUGAGCUCACAUCCUAUCACGCUUGUUGGUGAGGUAAAGGCUCACCAAGGCGACGACGGGUAGCCGGCCUGAGAGGGUGUCCGGCCACACUGGAACUGAGACACGGUCCAGACUCCUACGGGAGGCAGCAGUGGGGAAUUUUUCGCAAUGGGGGCAACCCUGACGAAGCAACGCCGCGUGGAGGAUGAAGGCCCUCGUGGUCGUAAACUCCUGUCUAGAGGGACGAAAGCAUUCGGUACAAAUAGCACCGAGUGUUGACUGUACUUCUGGAGGAAGCUCCGGCUAACUCCGUGCCAGCAGCCGCGGUA